AUAUCAUUAAGCGGAGGAAAAGAAACUAACAAGGAUUCCCCCAGUAACGGCGAGUGAAGCGGGAAGAGCUCAAGCUUAAAAUCUCCAUGUUUACAUGGCGAAUUGUAGUCUAUUGAGGCUGUUAUCAGCAUAGCGAUCUGGGACAAGUCCCUUGGAAAAGGGCAGCAUGGAGGGUGAUACUCCCGUCUCUGCUCAGAUUGUCUGUGUGUACGAUACGCUUUCUUUGAGUCGAGUUGUUUGGGAAUACAGCUCAAAGUAGGUGGUAAAUUCCAUCUAAAGCUAAAUAUUGGUGCGAGACCGAUAGCGCACAAGUA
This 314-nucleotide ribosomal RNA is filed under the name uncultured Saprolegnia. RNAcentral's name for it is "partial large subunit ribosomal RNA". It matches the Rfam family "Eukaryotic large subunit ribosomal RNA", at positions 40 to 350 of the family's 3401-position model. The record is from RNAcentral. Lineage: Eukaryota; Oomycota; Saprolegniomycetes; Saprolegniales.